Molecule: ribosomal RNA, 496 nt
Filed under: uncultured bacterium
Lineage: Bacteria
Description: partial 16S ribosomal RNA
Rfam family: Bacterial small subunit ribosomal RNA
Source: RNAcentral
GACGAACGCUGGCGGCGUGCCUAAUACAUGCAAGUUGAGCGCUGAAGGUUGGUACUUGUACCAACUGGAUGAGCAGCGAACGGGUGAGUAACGCGUGGGGAAUCUGCCUUUGAGCGGGGGACAACAUUUGGAAACGAAUGCUAAUACCGCAUAAAAACUUUAAACACAAGUUUUAAGUUUGAAAGAUGCAAUUGCAUCACUCAAAGAUGAUCCCGCGUUGUAUUAGCUAGUUGGUGAGGUAAAGGCUCACCAAGGCGAUGAUACAUAGCCGACCUGAGAGGAUGAUCGGCAACACGGGAACUGAGACACGGUCCAGACUACUCCGGGAGGCAGCAGUGGGGAAUAUUGGACAAUGGGCGAAAGCAUGAUCCAGCCAUACCGCGUGGGUGAAGAAGGCAUUGGGGUUGUAAAGCCAUUUGGUUGGGAAAGAAAAGCAGCAGGUUAAUACCCCGCUGUGCUGACGGUACCCAAAGAAUAAGCACCGGCUAACUUCGUG